AGUGAACGCUGGCGGUAGGCCUAACACAUGCAAGUCGAACGGCAGCACAGUAAGAGCUUGCGCUUACGGGUGGCGAGUGGCGGACGGGUGAGGAAUACAUCGGAAUCUACUUUUUCGUGGGGGAUAACGUAGGGAAACUUACGCGAAUACCGCAUACGACCUACGUGUGAAAGCAGGGGAUCUUCGGACCUUGCGCGAGUGAAUGAGCCGAUGUCGGAUUAGCUAGUUGGCGGGGUAAAGGCCCACCAAGGCGACGAUCCGGAGCUGGUCUGAGAGGAUGAUCCGCCACACUGGAACUGAGACACGGUCGAGACUCCUACGGGAGGCAGCAGUGGGGAAUCUUGGACGAUGGGCGCAAGCCUGAUCCAGCCCUACCGGGUGGGUGAAGACGGACUUCGGGUUGUAAAGCCCUUUUGUUGGGAAAGAAAAGCAGCAGGUUCACACCCCGCUGUUCUGACGGUACCCAAAGAAUAAGCCCCGGCUAACUUCGUG
Molecule: ribosomal RNA, 492 nt
Filed under: uncultured bacterium
Lineage: Bacteria
Description: partial 16S ribosomal RNA
Rfam family: Bacterial small subunit ribosomal RNA
Source: RNAcentral